RNAcentral lists this small RNA (147 nucleotides) under unclassified sequences. Its description in RNAcentral is "LOOT RNA". It matches the Rfam family "LOOT RNA". From Rfam's summary of the family: Latescibacteria, OD1/Parcubacteria, OP11, TM7. Lineage (Microgenomates, aka OP11) The record is from Rfam by way of RNAcentral.
UGCCUAACCCCUAUAUCAUUUGGCGAUUUCCGAUGUAAGGUAUGGCAAAGAUAAAACCCUACGCGAAUAAAGAUGGUCUUCUGACCGGCACUUAUUCGCGUAGGUUUAUGCCUGAAAGGGCGUAGGACAGUUCUGAAAGGGAUUGUC